UAACUGGCCGUUUUGAUCCUUUGGAACAACUCGAUGAAUUUAGUAGAUCGUUUUAGGAGGCCCUAAUGACAAUAGAUGCUAGCCAUGCAGAAAAGCACACCUUUGUGGGCGCCUUAGGAAUCUAGAUCGAGGAGUAUAGAAAAGUGGCAUCUUCUCUCACCAACAUACUUUGGUAAAAGGACUUUACAGGUGAACAGACCAUCACCUCGCAAACCCCAUCUCCAAGAAUCACAUGAUGGCUGAGGCAUGUCUUGCCCAUAUAGCUUUUCAGUAAAUCUUGGAGCUCCGCAAUCUCCCAAUCUUGCAUGUUCCUUCUAAAUGAGAGGUCCCACGCUACCCCCUGCAUGUUCCUUACAAAUUUGAUGGACCAUCAUUCCUUUUGGUUUGAAACUCUGAAGACGUGGGAAGAAGACCCUCAGAGUAUCCUCUUCACACCACCUAUGAUUCUAAAAGCUGAUUCUCCUUCCAUCUCCUACCUGUAAGAGAUGUUGCCACUGAAGAAUUCCCAAUUCUUCAUGAUGCUCCUCCACAUACCACACCCGAAAGGUGUUGUGAUUGCCUUGGUCCUCCAACCCCCUCCCAUGGAAUCGUACUUUUCUACUAUGACCUCCCUCCGUAGCGCAUGCUCUUCUACCCCGAAUCUCCACAGCCAUUUCCCCAACAAAGCUCUGUUGAACACCCUAAGAUCUUUCACUCCAAGUCCACCGCACUUCUUUGGGGAAGUGUCAUAGAGCAUGCUCUUCUACCUCGAAUCUCUAUAACCAUUUCCCCAACAAAGCUCUGUUGAAUACCUAAGAUCUUUUACUUCAAGUCCACCCCACUUCUUUUGGGGAAGUGACUGUCUGCCAAUUCACUAGAUGAUACUCUUUAGUUCCAUCCGCUACAUCCCAUAGAAAAUUCCUUUGAAAUCACUCCACUUUUUCUGUGAUGCUCACAGGAGCUUGCAACAGGGACAAGUGAUAGGUGGGCAUACUCGAUAAAGUGUUUUUAUUGAGAACUUCCUUUCUGCCUUUUGACAAGUACCGUUUCUGCCAGCCUGUUAAUCUUAUUUCAACCCUUUCGGUCACUGGAUUCCAAACCGUAGCAUCCUGAUGCGAAGCGCCCAAUGGAAAAUCCGGGUAAGUAGUGGGAAAGGAGCCCACCUUACAUCUGAGAACAUAAGACAAAGCAUCAAUGUUACCAACCUCACCCACCGGGAAAUUCUCACACUUGCCGAGGUUGAUUUUGAGACCUGAUACUAUCUGAAAGUACUGCAGGACCUAUUUCAGGUAGGUCAACUGAUCUAUAUCGGCAUCAUAGAAAACCAGGGUGUCAUCUGCAAAAAGCAAAUGAGAGACUUUUCGGACACUGGGCACCCCGAUCGAAGCUGAGAAUCCUCUCAAGAAGCCUCCGCUGCCGCACGAUCCAUCAUUUUAUUCAAAGCAUCCAUCACUAGAAUGAAUAGCAUGGGAGAUAGGGAGUCUCCUUGCUUGAGACCCCUGGAGCUGCCAAAGAAACCACACGGGCUACCAUUAACCAGGAUAGAGAAUCUUACUGAGGAAAUGCAGAACUUGGUCCAUCACCUCUAUCUUGCCCCAAACCCCAUCUGCAUCAUAAUGAAAUCCAGGAACUCCCAAUUGACAUGGUCGAAAGCCUUCUCAAGGUCCAACUUGCAUAGUAAGCCGAGAUCUCUAUUUUUUCUAUUGGAGUCUACAAGUUCAUUUGCCACCAAAGCGGCAUCCAGGAUCUGCCUACCUUCCACAAACGCAUUCUGGGAGGACGAAACAGACAUGUCAAGACUUGAGUCUAUUGGAAAGCACUUUAGAAAUGAUCUUGUAAAUGCUCCCCACGAGACUAAUAGGCAUGUAGUCACUGAUACAAGAUGUACCUUCUUUCUUAGGCACAGUAGUAAUAAAAGAAGUAUUGAUACUUCUUUCGAAAACACCAUUCGCAUGGAAGUAUUCAAUAGCUUCCAUCAACUCCCCCUUGAUGGUAUCCCAACAGAGCUGGAAGAAGGUCAAGGAGAAACCAUCAGGGCCGGGGGCCUUAUCACUAGCACAACUUGACACAGCCUCGUGCACGUCCUCCUCCUUGAAAGCCGUUUCCAGCAACUCACUAUCUCCCUUCCCUAUGUGGUUGAACUCUAUUCCCCCGAAAGUUGGUCUCUAACUAACUUCUUCUUUAUAUAAGUUCUCAUAAAACCCCACUAUCACCCCUUUUACCUCCUCCUCUCCCUCAAUCCUCACCCCAUCCACAACUAAUGACUUUAUGAAGUUUCUCCUUCGAUUUGCAACCGCCACCCUGUGAAGAACUUUGGUAUUCGAAUCCCCUUCCUUUAACCAUAGCGCCCUUGAUUUUUGCCGCCAACUAUUCUCCUGAGCUAUUGCUAACUCGGCUAUUUCCCUCUUAACCUCCCCCAAUCUCUCUUUCUCGGAUUCAUCUAACUCCCUCGCCCCUUCCCCUCUCUCUAGAUCCCCCAAUUCAUGCAUAAGCUCCCUCAUUUUAACCUCCAGCCUCCCAGAUCAUUGCUUGAGAUAUAAUCAUUUAAGUGACUUGUUUUUACCUUCCUCGAAAUGUGCACUUGUUAGCAAUUUAGUUCACUGGCCAAUCUAGGUAGCAGUUCUCCACAUUCCAAGUGCUUUCUGCACCUGGCAAAGUCAUGUAAUUUAAGUUAAUGUACUCCUACUUGUCAAACUAAUUAAUUAACAUGAUGAUUCAUUUAUGAGAUAUACUUAUGUACGAGGGACUUUACAGAAAUGUUAAUGAUGCAGCAUGUUUCAUGCUCCAUGUAUUAGUUUGCCAUUAAGCUAGUAUUUUAUCCAGCUCCAUCCGUCCGUCUUGUUUUGAUUUUAUCUCGUUUUGAGCCAAUUAUGAAAAGCUUCAAAACUCUAAGAGUCCUGGUUAACUUGGUUCUGCUAGGAGCUGUAUUCUUCUUUCAUAAGACUCUCCGCAUAGAUUGCUGGUUUUUCACAUCUAAAAAUGAUGAUGUUUACUAUUCAUAGUCUGCAUAUCCUGUUGUGGACUAAUAUUACAUACACAAGCUUUAGUUUGGUAUGUAGUUUCGAUUUGUGUUUUCUCUGACAUGUUUCUCAAAAAGACUACUCAUAUAUAUGUAUUAUGUACAAGAGCUAAGGUUCUUAAAGUCUGGAUUUUGAUUUGGAUUGGUGAAGAGUUUGGAAGAUAAAUGACAAUAUUCUCAAGUUGCAGUCUACUGACAGAAGCGGAUCUAGGAUUUUUAGAUAUGGGUGCACCACUGAAAAAGCAACGAAAAAGAAAGUACUAUAUCGGAACGGAUCCAUGUUUUUUUGGAUAAAUAACUCAAUAUUCAACCAGGUGGAUCAUUCAACUUUUCGGAGUAGGGAGGCCAACAGAUAAUGUUUGAUCAAUUUUACGAAAUAUACACAUAAAAUACCUAAUUUGGCGGAAUGACCAUGGGUUCACGUGCACCAGAAAAACGGCCUAAAUCCGCCAGAGUCUACGCAUGGCAAUCUUCUUAAAUUGGCCAACAUACCACUGUUUCUGACCACUACUCAAUUAUUCCCCUUAAACAGAAACUCUUGUGUCUGUGUAGGCCAACUCUUGACUAGUGUCAGAACCCUAUAUAUGAAAAUAUAAACCUUAUUUCUCACUUUUCAUAGCAAGAAUAUUGAGAGCUUCGACUCUGAACGCUAUCAUGUUUUAGAAUGAUGCUCCUAUCGAGUUAACAUAACUCUUGUGGGCAUUGAUCGUGUAGUUCUAGUUUCUAAAAGCCCAUUUCUAACGGGGCUGCUCAACAUAUUCGGUGGCCUAAAGCAAAAAUUAAAAAGGAGGCCUUAAAAUUUUUUUAAAAAAAUACUUCAUAUAUAUAAUUUAUUUGAAGUUUCUUUUUUUAGCUUUUUGAGAUGCGAAAUCAUUAAAUAUUUAGUCAAUUCGUAAUCUUUCUUGAGACAUUGUUGAUAUUAUUUAAGAUUUUAUCAAUUUUAAUUUUGAAAAGCGUCUUUCAACUGAAGCAGUUGUUACAAGAACUGUUAAUAUUAUUCUAUAAACAAUAUAGACAUUUGAAAAAGAACCAACUCUUUUUAACUGAUUAACUAUACCAAUUAAGUGUUAUUUUUUUACUUCUACUAUUUUCUUAGCACUUUUAAAUUCGUAAAAUAAAUCUUAACCAUUAAUAUAAUACAAGUAAUAAAAGCUAAAUCAAUAGAACUUGUUCUAGAUGUUGAUAAUUCACUAUUUUAAUUUGCUUGUAUAAACAAAAAAGAAUGUAUGCAAUAUACUUUGUUCGACUCACUUCAUGCUUUGAUUUUUUACAAAAAUAAUAAUAGUUAUUUUCUUUGAAGAAUGGAGAAAAGGAGCAGAGUAAACUUUGUAUCCUGAGAAAGAAAAUGAACAAAGAAGCAGAAGUUGUAUAUAUCCUACUGACUAAGUUAAAUAUAACCCAAAAUAAAGUCUACAUUCACACACGUAAUAUAAAGGUAUUGAUUUCAUUACCUAAUUUACCUUACAAUUCGCGCAAUUUAUAUUAACCACAAAUUUUCUUUUAUUUUUUAUCAAAAUUUUCUAUUUUAAUUUAAUAAUUUCCAAUAAAAAAGCACCUAUAAACACAGUCCCUAAUACUAAUAAUUAUUGGAAAAUCGGGCCCUCAAAUUUGGGGGGCCUAAAGCACUUGCCUUAAUGGCUUGUGCAUUGAGCCGGCACUGCAUUUAUAUGUACAAUUUAUUUAGCUAUAUACUUAUUCUUCUUAUUCCAUGGAAACUAGUUAUCUUCUGGCUAUUUGCGUUUUUGAGCUUUCCUCAAUUUGCUGGAACUUAUUUCUUGUGUAACUAGAAUUCUCUUCCUUGGUCACUUUCAGGACUCAUUGGAACAUUUUGAAUAAGUGAUCCAUGUACUUCAUUGUCCAACAUACAUCUGACAACUAAGCGCGGUAUGGAAACCUUCUCAACUCUUCAAUUUUUUUGAUGAAGCCUUAUCAACUCUUCAAUUUGAAUUUAAAUUAUGGUUCAGUUUGGUUUUCUUUGAGUUAUUCAAUUGUUUGUUCAAUUUAUCAACCAUCUUGUUUAGAGCCGAAUCAUGAGAUAAUGAAUAUCUGUUGCUUUUAACAUUAAAUAUGAAGCCGACCUUUAAAAAGAUGAAUAUAGAUAACUUUGGGAGUUACUUAUGAGAAAGAUAGCAUUAAAAAUUACUCAUAAAUAGAGAACAUUAGAUUCACUUUCCGGUGAGCGUUUUCAACCAUCUUCGGCAUGGAGUUAAACUAUGGUUAGUUCUAUUUCUCGUAAGCUGAAUUAUGCGUAAAUCUGUUUUUUAGCAUUAAAUCUGAAGCUGCCCCUUAAGUAUAGAUAUUAAGAUAAAAUUCAAAGCUGCCUGUCGAAUCUUGAAAUAUUUUGCUGCUCUUAUUAUUGCAAUUUUUUUACUUGUUUUCCCUGUUUAAUAAAACUGGUCUAUUAACUUAAAUGUGCAGAAUAGUUUACUACAUUCAAGUCCAUCUCAGAAGUGUUUUCACUUAUCUUUAUCCACUUUAAGAUAAUAUAGCAUAUCUAAUUAGCGAGGACUGCUAUUAGAAUCCCCCCACAGGCUUUGGUCCAGGGGUAAGAGCGUGGCAUGAUGUGUGGGUUUUGCGCAUGUCACGGGUUCGAACCCAGACAAAAGCCUUGUAGUUGAGAAGGGUAGAGGGGCGAGCCCAUUAUCCACCUAGCUUCGAACCGUGCGCCACGAGCCAUCGGGGAUUUCGGAGUUUAAAAAAAGACUACAAUUAGUAUCGGUAUUACGGAAUAUUUCCUUUCCUGCCUGGAUGGUAUGUUUCCUUCCCUUUACUAGUCGGAAACCCAAAAUUUUUCAAGUAAAGCACAAGGGGACUAGAUUCGAGUAAAUAGUACUGGGACGUACCAACUAUUGGCUCAUUUUUCUAAAAUCUUACAGUUAUAGUAGGCUGAACUAGUUGGGAGAGGAUCAAUCUUAUCAGUUGACUUUAGGCUGACAGGUUUUUUAAUGGUCUUUGGCCCUUUAACGGCAUUUAAAAUGUUAAAGUUUUGCUACUUUAGUACAACUUCAUGCUAUGUGUUCCACUGGGCGACAAAUCCUUGCAACUGGUGUGCUUUUGGUAAGGUCUUUUUGGUAGCUGUGCGAUCAGCGUGCAAAAUUUGUACGUGAAAUGCAUGUAUUGUUGCUUACACGUUGUAACAAGGGCCGAGGGGUAACCUUUUCUUGCACAUGCCGAAUGCAUGUUGUCAGGGGCGAAGCUACAUAUUCCUUCAUCGAAAAAUUACACUUUUUAUAUAGGUAAAAUAUUGAAUUUUAGAGGUAUAUAAUAUAUAUUGAACACCCUUUAUCGGAUUUUUUUUUACUUCUUUCAAGUUUCAACACCCUAGAUAAAAUUUCUAGCUUCGCCACUGCAUGUUGUAACCGGGUAUUAAAAAAAGUGGACCUUAGACUUUACUUCUAUAAGUUAGCUUAUGGAGCGAGAAUUGUCCAAACCAAGAGACUACAACUCAUACCCUAAUCUUAACACCCCUCCAUGCCAGAACUAGAGAUUUGGAGUGUUGAUAAUAUAAUAUUGGUCCCUACAAUAACUCAACAUCAGAGAUAACAAGGGAUGCUGCAGGUUGUAACACCUUGAUAAAAUAAAAAUUGGACUGUGGAUCUACCUCAACCCCAAGAGCUAACUUAUGAGUUGAGAAUUGUCUAAGAUCAGAUAUAAGGAGACUGCACCAUACCAUCCAACUUUGGUACUCUAACAACGAGUGCGGAGUUGUCGUUUGCUUAUUUUGUUUCUCUUUUCAUGCUAACCUACUAAGAUAAACCUUAAUUUUGCCGAAGAUACCUAAAAUAGCUGCUUUGCUUUUGCAGGGAUGAACAUUAGUGUGAAGUAGUAGGUACAGUACAGAGCUUGUAGUGUGAAUUAUACUGUGUACUUUGAUUACUAUUAGUUUGUUUGAAGCAGCAGACGAGUUUUGAUUAAAGGUUCAUCUUUUGUAAUUGUUGUAAUCAUAUGUUUUGUCAUAGUAGUGCACAGAUGAAGAGCAUAUCUCUUAUUUUAGAAUCCCACAAAAUUCAUAUAGUACUGAUCUUUGAGUUUCUAUUGUGAGCAACGUGUAGAGUAGUAGCAAUUUCUGCUGUAUUAAGUGCAUUUUCAAAGGGGUUUGAAAUAUUAGAUUCAUUUGUAGUUCUAAUAGAAGCUAUAGCCAUUACUCCGUUUUAUACCUUAUAUCUGCUCUUUUUACUUGCCGUAAUUAAGAAUGAUCUUCAGUUCUCUCCCUUUGUGAUUUCUUUUUUCGUGUGUAUUAAUCAAUGCACCUGAAAGGGAG
This 7259-nucleotide long non-coding RNA is filed under the name Nicotiana benthamiana. RNAcentral describes it as "long non-coding RNA (NBEN_LNC024249)". The record is from RNAcentral. Lineage: Eukaryota; Viridiplantae; Streptophyta; Magnoliopsida; Solanales; Solanaceae.